This 106-nucleotide small nuclear RNA is filed under the name Crocodylus porosus (Australian saltwater crocodile). RNAcentral describes it as "U5 spliceosomal RNA (ENSCPRG00005015873.1)". It matches the Rfam family "U5 spliceosomal RNA". From Rfam's summary of the family: U5 RNA is a component of both types of known spliceosome. The precise function of this molecule is unknown, though it is known that the 5' loop is required for splice site selection and p220 binding, and that both the 3' stem-loop and the Sm site are important for Sm protein binding and cap methylation. Lineage: Eukaryota; Metazoa; Chordata; Crocodylia; Crocodylidae. The record is from Rfam by way of RNAcentral.
ACUCUGUUUUUUCUUCAGAUCGCAUAAAUCUUUUUUGCCUUUUACUAAAGAUUUCCAUGGAGAGGAACAGAUUACUACUUUCUGCAUGCUGUUUAUUUGUAUAGUC